CAUGCCCCUUAUACGCUGGGCUACACACGUGCUACAAUGGGUAGAACAGAGAGUCGCAAAGCUGUGAAGUGGAGCUAAUCUCAGAAAACUAUUCUUAGUUCGGAUUGUACUCUGCAACUCGAGUACAUGAAGUUGGAAUCGCUAGUAAUCGCGAAUCAGCAAUGUCGCGGUGAAUACGUUCUCGGGUCUUGUACACACCGCCCGUCACACCACGAGAGUUGGUUGCACCUGAAGUAGCAGGCCUAACCGUAAGGAGGGAUGCUCCGAGGGUGUGAUUAGCGAUUGGGGUGAAGUCGUAACAAGGUAUCCGUACGGGAACGUGCGGAUGGAUCACCUCCUUUCUAAGGAGUAUAAGUCUUUCUCUAUUCUAUUGGUAAUGUUCUUUACAUUACUUCUGAACAUUGGAAACUAUAUAGUAGAACAAACAAGAAAAAAAUUAACUCUAACAAUUUCUUAGAGUUAGCUGUCAAAAAAUAGGUUAAAAUAAUUAAGGGCACACAAAGGAUGCCUAGGUAGUAAGAGCCGAUGAAGGACGUGGUAAGCUGCGAUAAGCCUAG
This 557-nucleotide small RNA is filed under the name uncultured Fusobacterium sp. Its description in RNAcentral is "bacterial SSU rRNA". The stretch from base 1 to 341 matches the Rfam family "Bacterial small subunit ribosomal RNA", at positions 1194 to 1533 of the family's 1533-position model. The record is from RNAcentral. Lineage: Bacteria; Fusobacteriati; Fusobacteriota; Fusobacteriia; Fusobacteriales; Fusobacteriaceae.